GACGAACGCUGGCGGCGUGCUUAACACAUGCAAGUCGAACGGAAAGGCCCUGCUUUUGUGGGGUGCUCGAGUGGCGAACGGGUGAGUAACACGUGAGUAACCUGCCCUUGACUUUGGGAUAACUUCAGGAAACUGGGGCUAAUACCGGAUAGGAGCUCCUGCUGCAUGUUGGGGGUUGGAAAGUUUCGGCGGUUGGGGAUGGACUCGCGGCUUAUCAGCUUGUUGGUGGGGUAGUGGCUUACCAAGGCUUUGACGGGUAGCCGGCCUGAGAGGGUUACCGGCCACAAUGGGACUGAGAGACGGCCCAGACUCCUACGGGAGGCAGCAGUGGGGAAUAUUGCACAAUGGGCGGAAGCCUGAUGCAGCAACGCCGCGUGCGGGAUGACGGCCUUCGGGUUGUAAACCGAUUUCGCCUGUGACGAAGCGUGAGUGACGGUAAUGGGUAAAGAAGCACCGGCUAACUACGUG
This 468-nucleotide ribosomal RNA is filed under the name uncultured bacterium. RNAcentral describes it as "partial 16S ribosomal RNA". It matches the Rfam family "Bacterial small subunit ribosomal RNA", at positions 28 to 507 of the family's 1533-position model. The record is from RNAcentral.